RNAcentral lists this ribosomal RNA (253 nucleotides) under uncultured bacterium. RNAcentral's name for it is "partial 16S ribosomal RNA". It matches the Rfam family "Bacterial small subunit ribosomal RNA", at positions 524 to 776 of the family's 1533-position model. The record is from RNAcentral.
GACAGAGGCCUCAAGCGUUAGGCGGAAUCACUGGGCUUAAAGCGUGUGUAGGCGGACGCCUAAGUGUCUUGUGAAAUCCCUCGGCUUAACCGGGGAACUGCGUCUGAUACUGGAUGGCUUGAGUUUGGGAGAGGGAUGCGGAAUUCCAGGUGUAGCGGUGAAAUGCGUAGAUAUCUGGAGGAACACCGGUGGCGAAGGCGGCAUCCUGGACCAACACUGACGCUGAGGAGCGAAAGCCAGGGGAGCAAACGGG